ACAUGAACAACACUUGGAUGUGAGUUAGUCGAUCCUAAAACGGUGGGUUAACUCCAAAUACAUAGAUACUUGUAUCUUGUACCGUGAAAGGGAAACAGGUUAAUAUUCCUGUACUAUAUCAAGGAGGUAAAGUGGCAACACAAAUGAACUCAAAUACAUCAGUAGAAUAACCAGGAAGAGUUCUCUUUUCUUUUUAACGACUUCCUCGCAAGGGGUGUAUAAUGACCAUGGAAUCAAUUUAGUUGGAGAAAUGGUUAAAGAGUCGGUAGAGUAAAUCAAUUUUCUGAUUUAUCUGGUUAGGUUCUAAUGGUACAUAAAAAUUUGAGGGAAUGAUCUUACUUGAAUAGUCGUACUCAUAACCGCAGCAGGUCUCCAAGGUUAGAAGCCUCUAGUUGGCAGAAUAAUGUAGGUAAGGGAAGUCGGC
Molecule: ribosomal RNA, 424 nt
Filed under: uncultured eukaryote
Lineage: Eukaryota
Description: eukaryotic LSU rRNA
Rfam family: Eukaryotic large subunit ribosomal RNA
Source: RNAcentral